RNAcentral lists this unclassified non-coding RNA (320 nucleotides) under plant metagenome. Its description in RNAcentral is "partial contains 5.8S ribosomal RNA, internal transcribed spacer 2, and large subunit ribosomal RNA". The stretch from base 1 to 105 matches the Rfam family "5.8S ribosomal RNA", at positions 50 to 154 of the family's 154-position model. The record is from RNAcentral.
GAAAUGCGAUAAGUAAUGUGAAUUGCAGAAUUCAGUGAAUCAUCGAAUCUUUGACCGCACAUUGCGCCCGCCAGUAUUCUGGCGGGCAUGCCUGUUCGAGCGUCAUUACAACCCUCAGGCCCCCGGGCCUGGCGUUGGGGAUCGGCGGAAGCCCCCUGCGGGCACAACGCCGUCCCCCAAAUACAGUGGCGGUCCCGCCGCAGCUUCCAUUGCGUAGUAGCUAACACCUCGCAACUGGAGAGCGGCGCGGCCACGCCGUAAAACACCCAACUUCUGAAUGUUGACCUCGAAUCAGGUAGGAAUACCCGCUGAACUUGAGC